Molecule: long non-coding RNA, 2183 nt
Filed under: Sus scrofa (pig)
Lineage: Eukaryota; Metazoa; Chordata; Mammalia; Artiodactyla; Suidae
Description: lncRNA (ENSSSCG00025054005.1)
Source: RNAcentral
AAGGAUGUGGGUGUGUACUCAGCAAUGCUAAGAAAGUAAUGACCAGAAAGUAUGAAGAGGUUGAAGUUUUGUAAUGCAAAAUUGUCCUUCAGUUUGCAUUCCUGUGAAUAUUAGAGUGCCCAUUUCCUCAUGCCUUCACACAUACCUGGAUAUUAUCAGACUUUUUAACUGUUGCCCUUCAGAUGGAGAACAAAUGGGUGUCUUAUAAUUGCCAUAAAACUUCAUAAAACUGAGGUUUUAUGUAUUUUGAAUGAUAUCAUUUCCUGCCUUUUAAGAAGCCUCAGACUUUCUCUGAACACUUUUCUCUCUAACGGAUACUGUGUUUUCAGUCUCUGCUUCAUGACUUAUCCUUUACCGUGAUUUUUAAAAAAAUGCCCUACUAAUUGUGAAUCUGAAUGCUUAAAUGAGUUCAGGAGUUCAGAGUUAUGGUGGAUCAGUAAUAUGCAUUAGUGACCUUACCUACAUGUAUCCAUUUUCUAUUACUUGCAUAGUCUCUAGACCUAUUGAGACAAAAAUCCUAGAUUGGCCUUAUAACAUAGCUGAAAUAUUAUUUUAUUGAAAAUCAGCUUUGGAAUAUAGUAUUAUUCACUUCCAUGGGGAAAUACAGCCCAUGAUGUGCUUUGCAUCAUGCUGAUUCCCUAUCUCAGGGCCUAAGAGAGAGACUGAGCAUCUUGUUUAAGUAUUCUGAUUCUUUGGCCUAGGAAGGCAGUUUCCCCUCUAUUUCUGAGAUGGUUUGGGCUGUCCAUUCAAAGGGACUCAGAAAACUUUACAAGUGAGGCUUGAGAUUAAGUGUAGUUGACCACUCCAGCCUGUUUUCUGCAUAGGGUUUCAUCUUCUAUUACUCCUUAAAUUACAAUCAUAAAUUCAUUCUCCCUUGCGCACAGCCCACCCCUCAACUGUGAAAGCAGAAAUGUGUAAAUUCACACAUGCAGCAGCAGGCUUUCAUAAAUUGUUGAGGGUUCCUAAGGUAUAACAGAUUUGCUUGAGAAGCCAAGCGGAUAACCUAUUACUAUGUUCUGCAAUGUUUGCUUAAUACCACCAGGUGGAAGCAUACCAACAUUUUCCAGAAGGUGGGUGCUAAGAAUUAGCCUCAACUAGCUUAGCACAGUUAUGCAAGGCUAAAACUUUACUAAGUUAACCUUCUCUUUAAAAUAAUGUCUUCUAAAGAUAAUUAAGUUAUUGAAAUUAAUGGAGGUGGAGGGACAAAUACAUAAAACAAUUUUGAAAGUUUUAAAGAAUUAAAAGCUAAACUUCCCACAGGCACGGUCUGUCUAUCUCUAUAUCCGACACAUUGUAAAUAAUAAAUGAAGAUUUGUUCCACCAUUCUCUAACUAACCUAUUCUGUUCUCAGGUACUGUCCAUUCACUGGAUAAAGCCUUUUUUCUUCAUAAAUUACCCUGGCCUCUGUCUUCCAGACUCUCAGAGGCCCCUGUCCUAUUAAACAAUCCUUUCAUUUGUAUUCUGUUAGAAAUAUAGUUUAAUGUGCUAUUCCUCUUACAUGGCCUGUACACCCAUCAGGGUGAAGAAAUUGCUACAGUCAAAGAAUAUUUGUCCUUUCAAUUAAACCAUUAAUUGUCAAAUAGGCAAAGAAAUCUAAGCUAAAUAUGUCAUGGUAUAUCAUGAAUAGAGAUUUUUUCCUAGGAUUGUUCCUUUGGCAUGUUAGCAUUUAAAAGGCAAAUGGAAGAUUUCUAGUGGAAGCUAACAGAUGUCUAUCUCUCCCUCCACACAAUAACAGUAAUAAAAUUUGUUAAAUGUAUAAAGCCACAGCAACAAAGGGAAUUAGUGAUGGGUUCUCAAUCAGCUAUCAAUAUCAGGAAACUUCUGGAUGACAGAGGAGAUAGAAGAUGGUAACUGAUAAAGUACGGUAGAGGAAGCCGAAAGGCAGGAGUACAUGAACACUGGGAUGGGGGACAGCUGAAAAGAGAGGCAGUUUGCCCUAUGGAACCAUGAAAAGUCUGGAGCUGUGGAAAUCAAAGUAAUGACAAAAGUUGGGAAGCAGAGGAAAGCUGAAGACAUAAGCAUUUGCUGAAAAGACUCAUUGAAAGUUUAUACAGAAGAGUCUAUAUUGCCUCCCAUCCCCCCUUACACACAUACUAUAUUCCAUGGGGACAUGAGUCCAUUAGCAGGCAAAAUGUGAGGACAUUUUUUCUCAAAAACAGUUAUAAAUUUUCUUUAAAAAUCAU